Molecule: small nuclear RNA, 107 nt
Filed under: Theropithecus gelada (gelada)
Lineage: Eukaryota; Metazoa; Chordata; Mammalia; Primates; Cercopithecidae
Source: RNAcentral
GUGCUUGCUUCAGCAGCACAUAUACUAGGAUUGGAAAGAUACAGAGAAGAUUAGUAUGGCCCCUGCACAAGGAUGACACACAAAUUCGUGAAGUGUUCCAUAUUUUU